UCUGUAGGUGGCCCGCUAAGUCACACGUGAAAUCCCUCAGCUUAACUGGGGAACUGCGUGUGAGACUGGCAGGCUUGAGUGCAGGAGAGGAACGCGGAAUUCCAGGUGUAGCGGUGAAAUGCGUAGAUAUCUGGAGGAACACCGGUGGCGAAGGCGGCGUUCUGGACUGUAUCUGACACUGAUAGCGAAAGCCAGGGGAGCAAACG
Molecule: ribosomal RNA, 206 nt
Filed under: uncultured bacterium
Lineage: Bacteria
Description: partial 16S ribosomal RNA
Rfam family: Bacterial small subunit ribosomal RNA
Source: RNAcentral